Molecule: RNase P RNA, 434 nt
Filed under: Desulfobacteraceae bacterium
Lineage: Bacteria; Pseudomonadati; Thermodesulfobacteriota; Desulfobacteria; Desulfobacterales; Desulfobacteraceae
Description: RNase P RNA component class A
Rfam family: Bacterial RNase P class A
About the family: Ribonuclease P (RNase P) is a ubiquitous endoribonuclease, found in archaea, bacteria and eukarya as well as chloroplasts and mitochondria. Its best characterised activity is the generation of mature 5'-ends of tRNAs by cleaving the 5'-leader elements of precursor-tRNAs.
Source: RNAcentral
AGAGCAGGACGAAUGGCCGCUGCUUUGCUUUUCAGCAAAGGGGAGGAAAGUCCGGGCUCCGCAGGACAGGGUGCUGGGUAACGCCCAGUCCCGGUGACGGGCAGGAAAGUGCCACAGAAAGGAGACCGCCCCCGCACUCAGUUUUCGGGGCAGAAGACCGUAUCAAGAAGGUUUGGAGGGAAUCCAAGAAUUUCGUGCGGGGGUAAGGGUGAAAGGGUGAGGUAAGAGCUCACCAGUCCCGUCGGUGACGGCGGGAGCUAGGUAAACCCCACCCGGAGCAAGACCAAAUAAGGGAACGUUGGAGGGUGGUCCGCCCGAGUUCCCGGGUAGGUCGCUUGAUCUCGAUGGUAACAUGGAGACUAGAUGAAUGGUCAUUGUCCCUAAACAGGUGACUGCUUAGGGAAACAGAACCCGGCUUACGGCCUGCUCUGACA